AAGAGCCGGUCAAUGUCAUUACCCUCACGUUAGGAUAUGGGAAUACCAGCGUUGA
Molecule: small RNA, 55 nt
Filed under: Ligilactobacillus ruminis
Lineage: Bacteria; Bacillati; Bacillota; Bacilli; Lactobacillales; Lactobacillaceae
Description: Transposase-1 RNA
Rfam family: Transposase-1 RNA
About the family: Lactobacillales (Firmicutes). Environment (Human Microbiome Project, vagina)
Source: RNAcentral